RNAcentral lists this ribosomal RNA (468 nucleotides) under uncultured bacterium. RNAcentral describes it as "partial 16S ribosomal RNA". It matches the Rfam family "Bacterial small subunit ribosomal RNA", at positions 28 to 507 of the family's 1533-position model. The record is from RNAcentral.
GACGAACGCUGGCGGCGUGCUUAACACAUGCAAGUCGAACGGAAAGGCCCGGCUUUUGUGGGGUGCUCGAGUGGCGAACGGGUGAGUAACACGUGAGUAACCUGCCCCUGACUUUGGGAUAACUUCAGGAAACUGGGGCUAAUACCGGAUAGGAGCUCCUGCUGCAUGGUGGGGGUUGGAAAGUUUCGGCGGUUGGGGAUGGACUCGCGGCUUAUCAGCUUGUUGGUGGGGUAGUGGCUUACCAAGGCUAUGACGGGUAGCCGGCCUGAGAGGGUGACCGGCCACAUUGGGACUGAGAUACGGCCCAGACUCCUACGGGAGGCAGCAGUGGGGAAUAUUGCACAAUGGGCGGAAGCCUGAUGCAGCAACGCCGCGUGCGGGAUGACGGCCUUCGGGUUGUAAACCGCUUUCGCCUGUGACGAAGCGUGAGUGACGGUAAUGGGUAAAGAAGCACCGGCUAACUACGUG